This 117-nucleotide ribosomal RNA is filed under the name uncultured Bacillota bacterium. Its description in RNAcentral is "uncultured Firmicutes bacterium partial 16S ribosomal RNA". It matches the Rfam family "Bacterial small subunit ribosomal RNA", at positions 344 to 460 of the family's 1533-position model. Lineage: Bacteria; Bacillati; Bacillota. The record is from RNAcentral.
GGAGGCAGCAGUUGGGAAUAUUGCACAAUGGGGGAAACCUUGAUGCAGCGACGCCGCGUGAAUGAAGAAGUAUUUCGGUAUGUAAAACUCUAUCAGCAGGGAAGAAAUGACGUACCU